GACGAACGCUGGCGGCGUGCUUAACACAUGCAAGUCGAACGGAAAGGCCCUGCUUUUGUGGGGUGCUGGAGUGGCGAACGGGUGAGUAACACGUGAGUAACCUGCCCUUGACUUUGGGAUAACUUCAGGAAACUGGGGCUAAUACCGGAUAGGAGCUCCUGCUGCAUGGUGGGGGUGGGAAAGUUUCGGCGGUUGGGGAUGGACUCGCGGCUUAUCAGCUUGUUGGUGGGGUAGUGGCUUACCAAGGCUUUGACGGGUAGCCGGCCUGAGAGGGUGACCGGCAACAUUGGGACUGAGAUACGGCCCAGCCUCCUCCGGGAGGCAGCAGUGGGGAAUAUUGCACAAUGGGCGGAGGCCUGAUGCAGCAACGCCGCGUGCGGGAUGACGGCCUUCGGGUUGUAAACCGCUUUGGCCUGUGACGAAGCGUGAGUGACGGUAGUGGGUAAAGAAGCACCGGCUAACUACGUG
Molecule: ribosomal RNA, 468 nt
Filed under: uncultured bacterium
Lineage: Bacteria
Description: partial 16S ribosomal RNA
Rfam family: Bacterial small subunit ribosomal RNA
Source: RNAcentral